GACAGAGGGUGCAAACGUUGUUCGGAUUUACUGGGCGUAAAGCGCGUGUAGGCGGCUUUGCAAGUCGGAUGUGAAAGCCCACGGCUCAACCGUGGAAGUGCAUCCGAAACUGCAUGGCUUGAGUCUCGGAGAGGAAGGUGGAAUGCUUGGUGUAGAGGUGAAAUUCGUAGAUAUCUGGAGGAAUACCGGUGGCGAAGGCGGCAUCCUGGACCAUAACUGACGCUGAGGCGCGAAAGCUAGGGGAGCAAACGGG
This 253-nucleotide ribosomal RNA is filed under the name uncultured bacterium. RNAcentral describes it as "partial 16S ribosomal RNA". It matches the Rfam family "Bacterial small subunit ribosomal RNA", at positions 524 to 776 of the family's 1533-position model. The record is from RNAcentral.